GGAAGAGCAUGAUUGGGGGUGGAAAAAGUUUAUGGAACUGUCAGAAUUACACGAUGGCUUUAUUGCACAGGAUGCUCUUACCAUCAAAGCCAAAGUUCAAGUCAUUAGGGAGAAGAUAGACCGUCCAUUUCGUUGCCUUGAUGGCCAGUACCGAAGGGAACUAAUUAGGGUGUAUCUAUCAAAUGUGGAACAAAUUUAUCGGCGUUUUAUUGAUGAAAAAAGAAGGACGUUCAGCAGGCUGAUUGAGGAUAAACUCGGGUGGUCCAGUUUCAGUGGAUUCUGGCUAGCCAUUUUUCAUCUUUGAUUUUAUCUGAACAGAUACUUGAACUCGCUAUCAACUUUCAGUAGACC
Molecule: long non-coding RNA, 351 nt
Organism: Zea mays
Lineage: Eukaryota; Viridiplantae; Streptophyta; Magnoliopsida; Poales; Poaceae
Exons: 3
Source: RefSeq, a predicted model, not a curated record